UCAGAACAGCACUGGUAGAUGUAACGGCGAGGUACGCCCCGGAUUUCUCUCCACACCCCCACCUUCAGGACUGAGGUUCUCAUUCCUCCAGCUACCAGGAUCAUUGCCUGCCGAUGGCGCCUAGCUCUCGGGAUCUAGAGGCCCUGGUGCCCAGAGGGGAAAUACCUCUCUUAGGGCUUACAGCAAGAAUCCCUUUCGACUCUGAGCUACAGCUGCAACCUAGUCACUGUAGAUUACAUGUACCAAAGGCAAAGAAGAGAGUCACCAUCUGGCAGGCUACUGGAGAAAUAUUGGGGAAAAUUGCAAAGCUGUAGCUUCCAAUUCCAGACGUCUCUCCUUAGAGUAGUUUCUGCUUCUUUUACGCUUUCUACCCUCUGUGAAUGACAC
Molecule: long non-coding RNA, 387 nt
Filed under: Equus caballus (horse)
Lineage: Eukaryota; Metazoa; Chordata; Mammalia; Perissodactyla; Equidae
Description: lncRNA (ENSECAG00000043863.1)
Source: RNAcentral